GGGCACCAGGGUGACCUGGCCGCGACACCCGUGAGCCCGGUGCUGGCAAUGAUGAUUCGGCUGGUCUGCCUGGCUACGGCGGCUGUCCCCUGUCUCCCUCAUCUCACGUGCGUCCUUCCCGAAGCCGCGGGCUGGGUGGCAGGGGACGACCGUCCCGGGUUGGGGAGGACCCUUUUUCCAUCAAGGGUACACGAGUAGCUGUGAUCCACCGCUGGAACCCCCAACACACCGCCGUACCGAGAUAGAUGGACAUACAGACAUACUCCGUAUUCAAACUUCCCUGGUGUCUCCAUGUAUUUUCUAUAUGAAAAGACAUUUUCUU
This 322-nucleotide small nuclear RNA is filed under the name Microcebus murinus (gray mouse lemur). Its description in RNAcentral is "7SK RNA (ENSMICG00000025574.3)". It matches the Rfam family "7SK RNA". Rfam says of the family: 7SK was discovered as an abundant small nuclear RNA in the mid-70s but a possible function has only recently been suggested. Two independent studies have found that 7SK RNA binds the CDK9/cyclin T complex (known as elongation factor P-TEFb). Lineage: Eukaryota; Metazoa; Chordata; Mammalia; Primates; Cheirogaleidae. The record is from RNAcentral.